This 500-nucleotide ribosomal RNA is filed under the name uncultured bacterium. RNAcentral describes it as "partial 16S ribosomal RNA". It matches the Rfam family "Bacterial small subunit ribosomal RNA", at positions 30 to 523 of the family's 1533-position model. The record is from RNAcentral.
AUUGAACGCUGGCGGCAUGCCUUACACAUGCAAGUCGAACGGCAGCACGGGAGCAAUCCUGGUGGCGAGUGGCGAACGGGUGAGUAAUAUAUCGGAACGUGCCCAGUCGUGGGGGAUAACGUAGCGAAAGCUACGCUAAUACCGCAUACGAUCUAUGGAUGAAAGCGGGGGAUCGCAAGACCUCGCGCGAUUGGAGCGGCCGAUAUCAGAUUAGGUAGUUGGUGAGGUAAAGGCUCACCAAGCCGACGAUCUGUGGCUGGUCUGAGAGGACGACCAGCCACACUGGGACUGAGACACGGCCGAGACUCCUACGGGAGGCAGCAGUGGGGAAUUUUGGACAAUGGGCGCAAGCCUGAUCCAGCAAUGCCGCGUGCAGGAUGAAGGCCUUCGGGUUGUAAACUGCUUUUGUACGGAACGAAACGGCGAGCUCUAAUACAGUUUGCUAAUGACGGUACCGUAAGAAUAAGCACCGGCUAACUACGUGCCAGCAGCCGCCGUAA